Molecule: ribosomal RNA, 355 nt
Filed under: Staphylococcus epidermidis NIHLM057
Lineage: Bacteria; Bacillati; Bacillota; Bacilli; Caryophanales; Staphylococcaceae
Description: bacterial SSU rRNA
Rfam family: Bacterial small subunit ribosomal RNA
Source: RNAcentral
UUUUAUGGAGAGUUUGAUCCUGGCUCAGGAUGAACGCUGGCGGCGUGCCUAAUACAUGCAAGUCGAGCGAACAGACGAGGAGCUUGCUCCUCUGACGUUAGCGGCGGACGGGUGAGUAACACGUGGAUAACCUACCUAUAAGACUGGGAUAACUUCGGGAAACCGGAGCUAAUACCGGAUAAUAUAUUGAACCGCAUGGUUCAAUAGUGAAAGACGGUUUUGCUGUCACUUAUAGAUGGAUCCGCGCCGCAUUAGCUAGUUGGUAAGGUAACGGCUUACCAAGGCAACGAUGCGUAGCCGACCUGAGAGGGUGAUCGGCCACACUGGAACUGAGACACGGUCCAGACUCCUACGG